UACGUAGGGUGCAAGCGUUGUCCGGAAUUAUUGGGCGUAAAGAGCUCGUAGGCGGUUUGGUAAGUCGGGUGUGAAAUCUCCACGCUCAACGUGGAGGGGCCACUCGAUACUGCCAUGACUCGAGUCCGGUAGAGGAGUGUGGAAUUCCCGGUGUAGCGGUGAAAUGCGCAGAUAUCAGGAGGAACACCAGCGGCGAAGGCGCCGCUCUGGGCCGUAACUGACGCUGAGGAGCGAAAGCAUGGGUAGCAAACAGG
This 254-nucleotide ribosomal RNA is filed under the name uncultured bacterium. Its description in RNAcentral is "partial 16S ribosomal RNA". It matches the Rfam family "Bacterial small subunit ribosomal RNA", at positions 524 to 776 of the family's 1533-position model. The record is from RNAcentral.